CCUACGGGUGGCAGCAGUGAGGAAUAUUGGUCAAUGGCCGUAAGGCUGAACCAGCCAAGUCGCGUGAGGGAAGACUGCCCUAUGGGUUGUAAACCUCUUUUAUGCGGGGACAAAGGUGUCCACGCGUGGCUGUUUGCAGGUACCGCAUGAAUAAGCACCGGCUAAUUCCGUGCCAGCAGCCGCGGUAAUACGGAAGGUUCGGGCGUUAUCCGGAUUUAUUGGGUUUAAAGGGUGCGUAGACGGGAUGUUAAGUCAGUUGUUAAAGUUGGGGGCUCAACCCUAAAAGUGCAUUUGAUACUGGUAUUCUUGAGUGAGGUAGAGGUAGGCGGAAUGCGUGGUGUAGCGGUGAAAUGCAUAGAUAUCACGAAGAACUCCGAUUGCGAAGGCAGCAUACUAGACUUCCACUGACAUUCAUGCACGAAAGUGUGGGUAUCGAACAGGAUUAGAUACCCGUGUAGUC
This 460-nucleotide ribosomal RNA is filed under the name uncultured bacterium. Its description in RNAcentral is "partial 16S ribosomal RNA". It matches the Rfam family "Bacterial small subunit ribosomal RNA", at positions 338 to 795 of the family's 1533-position model. The record is from RNAcentral.